ACACCUGUGUCGUCCGCCCUGAUUGUCUGCACCUGUGUCCUCCCCCGUCCGUGUGUGUAUUUAGCCUGCGUCUUCCCCUUGUCUUGUGCCAGUGCGUCUUGCUAGUCAUGAUCACCAGCGACUCCGUAGUCACAGAUAUUCCCUGUGAAAGCCUUGAUAGCAGAGACAUUUUGUCCAAGCUCUGUGUUUUGCUCGCGAGAUUUUGCCUUUGUUUUUCCCUCAGUUUGAGGCGCUUUUUGUUUGCUGUUCUCAGUCCUUUUUCCCCUCGUGUUGAGGCGCUUUUGUUUUUGCCUUUUUCCCUCAUCGUGAGGCACCUUUUGUUCUGGGAGCUGUCUUCCGUGAAGGAAAUAAACUCCUUUUUUUUUUAAACUUUGCAUUUGAGUCCUCUCCCUGCUCUGAGCUUGACACACCCCUGGUUUAGUGUGUACUUCCACAACUUCCUUGUGCAUGGCACGGUAGACUCAGCAAUCAGUUCUCUAAAGAUGGCGUCAGAGUGAGAAGCAGCGCAGACCAUGUCAGGACAUCUUCUAGGAUCAUUAACGGACUCUGUUCAAGAUUUGACACUGGCUAUAAGAUGGGGCGCUACAAAGGAUAUUGACGGUACCAGCUAUUGGCAUGCUGGAGCCUAUCCCAGCAGUCAUUGGGCAGUAGGCGGGGGACACCCUGAACCGGUUGCCAGCUCAUCGCAGGGCACACUGAGACGAACCACCACCCGCACUCGCACUCACACCUAGGGGCAAUUUGGAAUGCUCAAUCGGCCUACCAAGCAUAGUUGGGAGGAAACCAGAGUGCCCGGAUAAAACCCACGCGGGCUCGGGGAGAACAAGCAAACUCCACACAGGAAGGGGCAGAGGUGGAAUCGAACUGACAUACUCCUAAAUGUGAAGCGGAUGUGAUAACCAGUGCGCCACCAAGCUGCCAGAACCUCUAACAUUUGGGUCAAAAUACUUAUGUGUGAGUCUACUAACACCUAAGGAUACAGGGAAUCGCACGGCUGUGUUAACCUCCGUAAUGAAAUAAUUGUCACUGGUGAGUGAGCACAUACUGUGAAUGACACACUGGUGAUCUUGACAUUGUGCAAAGAGAACCUUGGCUGAAUCUUUGGGUUGCAGAGCCGGAUGACUGUAACCUUAGGGCUGGAUGUCCUUGAGACACACGGCUGCUGCUGCUAAUCUGACAAAAAAAGGAACACUUAUCCUUCCAGGUCAUAUUGUCCAGUUUUCCCAGCCACAGACAGUGCCAGGUUAUUGUCAGACCACUCCAUUACAGUAUUCCCUGCUGAAACAGCAUCCAGAAGCAACACUUGGUCAAUCCUGCCAACACCAAAACCCUGGCAUAAAGUCAAGAUCAGCUUUAUUUGCCAAGUUUGUGCAUGCCAAACAAGGAAUUUGUCUUCAGUUGAUCUCAGUCUCUGUACAACAAUCAAGUGACUAACAACAUUCAGGUGACUAACAACAUUGAAGUGGCAAGAACAGGAUAUUUAUUGCCUAGAGAUGUCACUAAGACUCUGAGUGGUGUGAGUUCAUCAGAGCUACAGCCUGGGGGAAGAAGCUGAUCGUCCGUUGCAGUCUGUGCUUGUCUUGUUUGGUGGCUGAUCCAAACCAGUGAUGGAGGUGCAGAGGAUAGACUGGAUGAUGGCAGUUGAAGAGAGAGCAUCAGCAAUGUGUACAUAUUUUGCUAGUUUGAACCGAAACUGACCACUAGGAAGACUACGACAGAGCCCCGAGCGGAGUGCUAGCUUGUUAGCACCAGCACACAGGC
Long non-coding RNA from Syngnathus typhle (broad-nosed pipefish), 1761 nucleotides. RefSeq lists it as uncharacterized. The record is from RefSeq and is a predicted model, not a curated record. NCBI's taxonomy places the organism in Eukaryota, Metazoa, Chordata, Actinopteri, Syngnathiformes, Syngnathidae. The transcript has 3 exons.